Molecule: ribosomal RNA, 1946 nt
Filed under: Triticum aestivum (bread wheat)
Lineage: Eukaryota; Viridiplantae; Streptophyta; Magnoliopsida; Poales; Poaceae
Description: partial small subunit ribosomal RNA
Source: RNAcentral
AAGUAGGGUUCCAUCUUCUUCCUCUCCCUCUCCCCCUCCCUCGAAUCUCUCGCGCAGCCGUCGCUCCUCUGCCUUCCCUCUCUCCCCGCUUGACCCGCCGCCCCUCGCGCGCCGCCAUCCGCGCAUUCUCCCCUGGAUGCGGCGAACACGAGGAACAAGGAUGGCGACUGGGCGCUGCGGGCACACAGAGCACGCCCCAGAGCUCCACAGCCUCUGGCUCGGCUUCUCGACCAGCGGCCGCCUCUGCGCGUGGGACAACUUGUGUGCCCUCAUUAUUACCACUGAAGCCUGCUCAAAGGCGAAGGCCGCUCAUCUCCAUCACUGGGAGGAGCGCCAGCCGCCGAGACAGCCAUCCACUUCGCCAUUGCCGACGUCCUCGCCCCGGCAGAUCGAGAGAGAUGCGGAAAAGAGGCGGGAGGAAGAGGAAAAGACGUGCCAGCUCCAUCCCCUCCACUGCGUUGUGCGCCUGGCUCUCACCUGCAACCAUUCUACCUCCACCCCCUGCCAAAUUCUCCAUCCCUUUCUUACAAAUUCCUGUAAGUUCUUAUUGUUCGGCUACCUGUACAUGGAUGUUUAUCCCAAAAAAUAGAGAAAGAAUCAAGUGUUCCAAAUGCUCAAUGUGUUUAGGAUCCAUCGCGAAACAGUACAGAUAUAAGCCAUCUAAAAACAGACUGGUCAUUUUGUUUUCAUUUGCUUUUGGUUUGGUACUGAUCAAUAAACUGCUUAAUAUGUUUUAGGAUCCAUUGCUUUUAGUUUGGUACUGAUCAGUAAUGAAAGCAAUGGAGCAAAGCAAUACUGAUCCAACUGGUGUGGGGAGUUGACGGCCAACUAACCAAAAGCAAUGAAACAAAAUGAAACAAGAGAGAUGGUUCAGAGUCACACGCCUAUAAUCAACCGGUCCAGGUAGACGAGAUAAGGUAAAUGUGAUUGCAUUAGCAAACUCCAUUUUCGUGUAACAACAAAAACAGAGGAAACUCCAUUUUAUUGUAAUUACAAACAAAGAACUUCUAGACGGCGAAGCUGCUACCCUGCUCCUCUCCCUGCAAACCUCCUGAUAAAUGAAAUAUGCUAUUUGAUUAUAUAUAGUCUGUCCUAAAGGUGCUGCCCUAUCUGUUUAGUGGAGGUAAAUAUGUUCAGGUUGCACAAGCAUACCUGUGAGGGAGGUGGUCUGCUUAAGUGUUUUUACAGAUGCAAGAUACUAAAUACUUCCCUAUCAGUGUUUUUCUUCUCUUUAGAAGAUUUGGAGGCCCUCAAAUAGUGGUUGAUGAUAGCUUGGUUUUGUUGUUCUCCAAUUAAGGAACCAUCCCCGCAUGCUUCUGUAAACUGGAUGGUUGCAUUCCGUUGGGAGGAGAGGGUUGCCACCAUCGUUAUCAUGGCGGGCGGGCGUGUGCGUGUGCGUGUGCGUGUGCGUGUGUGUGUGUGUGUGUGUGUGUGUGUGUGUGAGAGAGAGAGAGAGAGAGAGAGAGAGAGAGAGAGAGGAAGGAACCAUACAGUGAAUAAUAUGUCAGGGGCUUAGUACAAGCCCAUAGAGUUGUCUGUUUUCCUGUGAAGAGCCCCCUCUAUGCAAACACCCAUGACAGAUCCUUUUUUGUUCUAUUCUCAUGGCCUUAGCUUGGACACAAAUUUGUAAAUUACUUCCUUGCAAGAAUGACCCGAGUUUGGUUUCUAAUCCCCUGGAUCUAUUCGGAUUGCCUAUUUCUUAGUUGCAUACAAAUAUGCACCUUGAUUGCUAUGGAUAACCCAGUAGGUAAUUCCCUCUCUUCUUGUUGAUGCUUUGUCUUGCUUGGACGAUAGAAGGUUCUGUACAGGACUAAUUUAGCCAGACAGCUAUAAAUUGACCGAAAACACAUAUAAGCUUUCUAUACAUUAAUAACUAGGGGGUUGGUGCACUCACUCAAUUCUAAAAUUGUUCAUAUCGAUGUCAUAGGUAUUAGUAUACAAGUGAU